Molecule: long non-coding RNA, 2695 nt
Organism: Oncorhynchus keta (chum salmon)
Lineage: Eukaryota; Metazoa; Chordata; Actinopteri; Salmoniformes; Salmonidae
Exons: 3
Source: RefSeq, a predicted model, not a curated record
GCAAAGUUCUGCGGUUCUGGUGAGAACUGUCAAAAUGUUUCACAAACUCAUCCAUGUUGAGGGAGCGAGCCCUCCUUGACUUAACCUGUCAUCAACCAUUGUUGUCCUAAGGUGGAUUUUAAUCAGUUUUAAAGCUGAGAAGCUUCUCUCACAAGAAGCACUGCUGACUGGUGCAUCAACAGAAAUCUUACAAAGUGGAAAUAGCUCAUGGAAGACCUCUUUAUAAGGUUCUAGAAACACAACAAAGUCUAGGAGAGUAGACGGUCUGUCCCUUCCUCCUUUCUCUCUCCUAUCAAGAAGCCGCUUGGUUUGAUGAACCUCAUGUUUGAGGUCCUCUAAAUCUGACUCAGAGGUCUGAGCAAAGGCCAACAGAGGCUCCUCAUUCAAGAAUGUUGUUCUCUUUGGGUUGAGAGACUGGACCCCUUGCAUUAUCUCGCAAUUCUUCUUUGAAAAACACCUCUGCAACUCCGCUGUGAGACUGUCAAGCACCUGAUAAAAGAUAGCUCUUUGGAAGCUCUCACCAUCACUUUGGUCACUAUCAUCAUCAGUGAGUCGUGAAAUCUUAAGCUUGUUUUAGGCUGUCUUUUAGCACACUGUUUGUUCACAAAUUUUGCAGUGCUCUGCAAUCUCUUCAACCUCUUUCCAUAGUUCUCCAAAGUAACCCUCACUUCUGUAGUCCUGUAAUGUGUCUGUAAGGGCACCUACUAGAUGCACAGCCCUUGCUCGGUCAAGAGAGCUUGAUUGAAGCAUGUCAAAAAGACAUUUGGCAUCACCAAGCACUACAAAAGUUAACCAAAAGCCCUAUGAAAUGUAAAUCUGAGAUAGAAGGCCCCUUGCCUCAACGGAUCUAUCACCACUAUUUUCAAGUGUGAUAUUCUGUAGCACUCUCAGAACUGCUGGGAGCCGUCCCUCAGAUUACUGCAUGCCAUGUAUCUGCAGGCCCACCUUACAUCCGUAAGUCUCCGUAGUUCCCUGGGCUGCUGCUGUGGAUACAGCUCUUUCUGAACUGCAAGCCACUUGAGAUGAACAUAUGAGCCAGAUACAACGUUAUAAAGCUUCUGCAGGAAAGUUAACUGCCUCAGGCACUGAUUUUACAGCCUUGACAAGAACCAAAUUGAAACAAUGUGCAUUAGAGUGCACAUAAAAUGCAAAUCUUGUACUUUUUAAAAUCCGUGCAGACACACCAGAAUGCUCUCCGCUCAUUACGGAUGCACUGUCAUAGCCUUGCCCCACCAGAUGAUUUUUGUUGUCCAGACCAUGUUUUUCAAGGCAAUCAAUUAUCAUUUGUGUGAGACCUGCUGCAUCUAAGCUGUCAGCUGACUGAAAAUGUGAAACACUUUCGUGGAUGGCCUCGUUGUAAUAGUACCUCAACUAAAGACAUUUGGUAUUUUUUCUUUAAAUCUUUGGUUUCGUCUGUAAUUACACAAAAAACUUAACUUUCUUUUACUUCUCUUAUGAUUUCACUUUGUACCAUGUCAGCAAAGCCCUCAAGAACUUUGUUCUGGAUUUGGUGGCUUGUGUACUUAACAUUGCCAAUUGCAUUCAUCUUUUUCUCUAUGAGAGGGUCAUGCUUUGCUAUUUCUUCUAAGAUUGUAAAAAAAAACUUGUUGUGAGAGUCAUUAGACCUUCUAUGACCUCUAUUAGACCCUCUAUGCCCACUAUAUUUUGAGUGGCAGUUCAUAGGAGCACAUCUGCAGUUGUUUUAAUGUAAGUACAGUUUUCCUCCACUUUCUUUUUCCGGUCCUCAUUUAUGACAUCUAACAUUGUGUCACGCCCUGACCUUAGAGAGCCUGUUUAUUUCUCUAUUUGGUUAGGUCAGGGUGUGAUUUGGGUGGGCAUUCUAGUUUUCUAUUUCUUUGUUGGCCGGGUGUGGUUCCCAAUCAGAGGCAGCUGUCUAUCGUUGUCUCUGAUUGGGAAUCAUACUUAGGCAGCCUGUUUUCCACCUGAGUUUGUGGGAUCUUGUUUUUGCACAGUAGCUGUAUAGCCCUGCAGAACUUUGCGGUCGGUUAUCUUUUGUUGUUCUUUGGUCUUCAUUUUAAAUAAAGAAGAUGUACACUUACCACGCUGUGUUUUGGUCUCAUUCCGAUGACGGACGUGACACAUUGAGAUCCUGUCAAUAGCCCUUUUAUGCUGAUUCCAAGCAUACAUAGCAUUGAUGUGAUGCUCUGCCUUCGAAUGGAGCUAAAGCCCAGAAUCUUUAAACAGCGCCUUUUUCCAGUUACAAAACCAUGACUGUGAUGUGAAGGCAGAUGUAGGUGUAAUGGGCAGAGAAACAUGACUGUGAUGUGAAGGCAGAUGCAGGUGUAUUGGGCAGAGAAACAUGACUGUGAUGUGAAGGCAGAUUCAGGUGUAUUGGGCAGAGAAACAUGACUGUGAUGUGAAGGCAGAUUCAGGUGUAUUGGGCAGAGAAACAUGACUGUGAUGUGAAGGCAGAUUCAGGUGUAUUGGGCAGAGAAACAUGACUGUGAUGUGAAGGUAGAUUCAGGUGUAUUGGGCAGAGAAACAUGACUGUGAUGUGAAGGCAGAUUCAGGUGUAUUGGGCAGAGAAACAUGACUGUGAUGUGAAGGCAGAUUCAGGUGUAUUGGGCAGAGAAAAAUGCCUAGAGGUGAAGCAAUAAGUCAAAUCUUGAUUUACAGAAUAUUCAAGCCACGAAUUGUCCUUAUACCAGGAGCUGUUGAAACCCUGGACACCCCU